UUGUAAUUUUCAUAUGGUAUUUUUUCAACAAAUAAGUUUAACAUUAUUUUUGGUUAUUUUGGGUUAAAAACUUGGCUAAUAUCCAAUAACCGAACCCGUGCGCGAAAUUCAAAUUGCGGAUUUUGUUUAGUUCUCCUCCGAUCAGGACGUUAUAUGUGUCCUCGUGAUAUGAAGAAUGCCCCGAUCGUUUUAACCCAGAUUGGCAUCAAGGAUAAUAAGGAUAAUGCACUUUUAUAGUUAUUUUUAAAUAUGAGAAAUUCGAGGACAACGGCUUUUUUCUUUUUGGAAUAAUCUUCUGGAUGGACAGAGAUUUAUUUCAAUAGAUAAAUACAGGACGCAGGCUCAUAAACUAUUUUCUUAGACACUUUUCAGUGUGGCUUAGUGGAAAGGACAGUCAAAGCAGUUUCUACCACAUACCCAAUGGGUUCUACAAUUUGUUUGUCUAAUUUGUGCUUGCCAUUUGCUAAUUUCUCUACAAAAAAUGACUUUUUUGAUUCCAUUUGGACCAUUUACAGCUACAAUACAAUAUUCUAAUAUAUAUUUUAUAUGUAUCUAAGUACGAAAUACUUAUAGGUAUUCGUUAGCUUGUAAAGGAAACCAAAAACAUAUACAAACAAAUACAAGAAAGAAAGGUUAGCUUCGAGAGCCGA
Drosophila obscura is the source of this 650-nucleotide long non-coding RNA. RefSeq lists it as uncharacterized. The transcript is spliced from 3 exons. The record is from RefSeq and is a predicted model, not a curated record. Lineage: Eukaryota; Metazoa; Arthropoda; Insecta; Diptera; Drosophilidae.